GGGGAGGGACUAACAGGGGAUUCCCCUAGUAACUGCGAGUGAAGCGGGAAAAGCUCAAAUUUAAAAUCUGGCGGUUCUUGUAGCCGUCCGAGUUGUAAUUUAGAGAAGUGCUAUCCGUGCUGGACCGUAUACAAGUCUCCUGGAAUGGAGCGUCAUAGAGGGUGAGAAUCCCGUCUUUGAUACGGACUGCCAGGGCUUUGUGAUGCGCUCUCGAAGAGUCGAGUUGUUUGGGAAUGCAGCUCAAAAUGGGUGGUAAAUUCCAUCUAAAGCUAAAUAUUGGCGAGAGACCGAUAGCGAACAAGUACCGUGAGGGAAAGAUGAAAAGAACUUUGGAAAGAGAGUUAAACAGUACGUGAAAUUGUUAAAAGGGAAACGCUUGAAGUCAGUCGCGUUGGCUGGGGAUCAUCCUUGCUUUUG
RNAcentral lists this ribosomal RNA (417 nucleotides) under Atheniella adonis. RNAcentral's name for it is "partial 28S ribosomal RNA". It matches the Rfam family "Eukaryotic large subunit ribosomal RNA", at positions 50 to 463 of the family's 3401-position model. Lineage: Eukaryota; Fungi; Basidiomycota; Agaricomycetes; Agaricales; Mycenaceae. The record is from RNAcentral.